This 750-nucleotide long non-coding RNA is filed under the name Bos taurus (domestic cattle). Its description in RNAcentral is "long non-coding RNA NONBTAT016879". The record is from RNAcentral. Lineage: Eukaryota; Metazoa; Chordata; Mammalia; Artiodactyla; Bovidae.
CUUUAUAGGUGAAAAGGUCAGAAUAGAGGCAUGGGGGAGACCAAGAUUUCUCUGUGUAUAGUCUUCUGUAGUUUGAGGACUUUAAAUCAUGUAAAAUUUUAAAACAAACAAUAAAACUUACUGCUCAUUCCAUACCAAGGAUGGAAUAAUUUAGGUAUAAAGUUUACAAAAGCAUUUAUAGCUGAUAUUUCAUAAUCUAUUCUAAAAAAAGUGAAAAUCAUAAAGGUCCUCAAAAGCAUAGCUUUUUUCAUAAUCCUCCAUAAUUUUUUUUAAAAUUUUCAUCAGAAACACUAGAUUGGCAUUAAUGAAUUUUAGUUGUAUAGAAUUAUAUGAAUAAAGAAAUGCAAGAAUCAAACAUUUACCAAUUCUCAUCUUUUCAAGACAAUGCCACUCUAUUGAGACUCAAAUUUAAAGGUCAUUCUACAUUUCAGAUGUUUUUCAACAUUCUAAAAUAAUAACUAUUCUCAUUAAAGAGAAACAACUUAGGUUCCUAAUUUUUGGUUCAAUUCAAACAUGUCUUGAAAAUGGUACAUGGCAUUUUACUGAACAUUUCCAUUUUUAUUUAUCUACCAUUUCCCACAUUUAGGCUCUAUCUAUACAUCAUUGUCCCCAAACACCUCAAUUUCCCACCACUGUAAUAUAAAUGGUCAAAAACAACUACUUCUAGACCUAAAUAUGCCAUAAGCCUAGUGGCCUCACUUUUGUCCACAGCAUACCCAUUCCUUCUGCCAAAAGUAGUCUCCUCUACCA